AACGAACGCUGGCGGCAUGCCUAACACAUGCAAGUCGAACGAGACCUUCGGGUCUAGUGGCGCACGGGUGCGUAACGCGUGGGAACCUGCCCUUAGGUUCGGAAUAACUCCCCGAAAGGGGUGCUAAUACCGGAUAAUGACUUCGGACCAAAGAUUUAUCGCCUUUGGAUGGGCCCGCGUUGGAUUAGCUAGUUGGUAGGGUAAAAGCCUACCAAGGCGACGAUCCAUAGCUGGUCUGAGAGGAUGAUCAGCCACACUGGGACUGAGACACGGCCCAGACUCCUACGGGAGGCAGCAGUGGGGAAUAUUGGACAAUGGGCGAAAGCCUGAUCCAGCAAUGCCGCGUGAGUGAUGAAGGCCGUAGGGUUGUAAAGCUCUUUUACCCGGGAGGAUAAUGACAGUACCGGGAGAAUAAGCUCCGGCUAACUCCGUG
This 433-nucleotide ribosomal RNA is filed under the name uncultured bacterium. RNAcentral's name for it is "partial 16S ribosomal RNA". It matches the Rfam family "Bacterial small subunit ribosomal RNA", at positions 29 to 507 of the family's 1533-position model. The record is from RNAcentral.